AAAAUAGUAGUGAUGAAGUAAAGGAUAUGGUUUCGCAACUAAACCUGAUUAUUUAUUGAUGACACUAUCCUUGGCUGUCUGAACUAUUUU
RNAcentral lists this small nucleolar RNA (90 nucleotides) under Mytilus galloprovincialis (Mediterranean mussel). It matches the Rfam family "Small nucleolar RNA SNORD53/SNORD92". Rfam says of the family: U53 is a member of the C/D class of snoRNA which contain the C (UGAUGA) and D (CUGA) box motifs. Most of the members of the box C/D family function in directing site-specific 2'-O-methylation of substrate RNAs. The human orthologue HBII-316 (SNORD92) is predicted to guide the 2'O-ribose methylation of 28S rRNA A3846. The record is from RNAcentral. Lineage: Eukaryota; Metazoa; Mollusca; Bivalvia; Mytilida; Mytilidae.